This is an RNA transcript of Rosa rugosa (rugosa rose), 2229 nucleotides long. RefSeq lists it as uncharacterized. The record is from RefSeq and is a predicted model, not a curated record. The transcript is spliced from 6 exons. Lineage: Eukaryota; Viridiplantae; Streptophyta; Magnoliopsida; Rosales; Rosaceae.
UUAUUGAAGACAUUGUAUUACUAUGAAGUACAUGUGGCUGUGUAACUUUUGACAGUUAAACACUACUAGAAUUAUGCUCAUAGACAUCACGACAAUUACAUCGGUGAGGAAUUCACGCGAUGUAAAAGAAUAUCAUUAACAUCGAUUCCUCAAAUUCCGAUUUGUAUGCAUAUAACUAACAUCGCUUUUUACUGUUGACCGAUGUCUAUAUUUUGAAUCAAAAAUUUUCAAAAACACGGAAAGACCAAGUCAAAAAUUUUCAGGAACGGGGGAACAAAAUUUUCAUUCCCCACACUUAUUAUUUUUCCACUACUGUGUGAAAAAACUGGCGACCCAUUUUCUCUCUUGCUAUUCCCCGAAUCCUAGCCAUCUCCUCCUUCCUCUCCCACUCUCUUUCCACAGCCACCACUGCUUCCCUCUCCUCCGCUCACUCCCGCUACUAUCUCUCUCUCUCAUUAACUGCCUCCGCCUCUUGGCGGCGCCAUCACCUCCACGAGCAAGCUCUCUCUCUCUCUCUCUGGGAUCUUGGAAGACUGAAAGAAGGCAAAGAACCCUUUUCUCAAUCUCACUCUCGAAUGGGGGAAAUCGAUUGCUUCUGUGAACCAAGAAAACAUCCCAGGGGCGACCGGCUACCACUCCUUGUCCUAAGACGACUAGGGUUUGGGAAAUCCUAAUCAAACCCUAGGCGCCAUAAAAGCCAUAAUCAAGCAAAACUUUUGAAACGUUCCUGGCAGGAAAGAUUUUCCUAGAGAGAUCGAUCAUCUCUGAAGCGGAAUUUUGCUGCCUUUAAUUUGUUUGGAAACGAUGGGCAGAGGAAAGUACAAGAACAAGCCCACUGGUCAGCGCCAGUUCUCCGAUCACGAAGAUCUUCUUGCCGGUACCUCCACCCGUCCCCGUUCUUUUUCAAAGGCAUUUGAUACCCUGCUCCGGAAGCUACAAAGGUAUGUCCCUCUUGGAGCAUCUGUUGCUGAUUUGUAUGCAGGAGCAGGUGUUAUCAGUUUAUCAUUGGCUGCUACAAGAAAAUGCAGGUCUGUGAGAUGCAUUGAGAUUAACAAAGAAUCAAAGCUAUCCUUUGAGAAGACGGUUGCCCGCCUGCCAAACAUAGUAGAUAGCAGCAUCAGCUGGCAUCAUGCAGACACUUCUAAGAUCCACCUUCUUUUGGCUAUCAGUUAAGACAUAGGAGAGGAAAAUCAGAAACUACUCAUGCUCAGUACAUAAACACAAAGGAUUUGAGGCUGACAAUAAGCACUUGGAAUGUUGCUGGAAGAGUUUCGGAUGAAAACCUUGAUAUUGAUGAUUGGAUUUUGAUAAGGAUCUACCCCUGGGUAUCGAAGAAAAGAAGAAACUGGAAAUUUAAAAGCAGAAAGGAAAAUAUAUUUCAUUCAAAGAUGGCUGACGAAACCCUAUUACAUCCUAUAUAUACUCAGCUAAAGGGUUAGGAUGGAGCCACGUCUCAUCCAACCAAGUAGAUCGCAGAUUCGCAGAAAGCAGAAAACUACAAUAAUUGAGCUAAGCAACAACAAUUGAACCGAGUACUGUAAUAAACCCAAUACUGCCUAAUUAAUAGUGGCCACGUGCAAACCAUGCUAACGGGCAGCUAUAUUCAAUCAAACCUAGUCAAAGUUGACUCGUAACAAUUCUUCCUCCACCAAAACAAACUUGUCCUCAAGUUUCAUAGCUAAAACUGAAAGUCUGGGUACCUCUGGAUAAUGUCGUGAGCAAAUUCCCACGUUGCCUCGUCAGGGGAGGUCCCAAACCACUGUAUGAGCCAUUGUGUGGCAGCUUCACCACGUCAUUUCACCAUUCUAGUUUGUAGAACAGCUUCUGGUGCCCACCUUGAAUUGGAAGUAUCAUGGAUGGCGGGUAAUUGAGGUUCCACCACAACAAAAUUACCAACCUUCUUCUUCAAAAGUGACACAUGGAAUACAUUAUGUAUUUUAGCUGAAGGUGGAAGCUGCAGUUUAUAGGCCACCUCUCCAAUUUUCUCAAGCACUUGGAAGGGUCCAUAAUAUUUGGCAGAGAGCUUGUGAAACACUCUUGCAGGCAUAGAGUGUUGCCUAUAGGGCUGGAGUUUAAGAUAAACUCAAUCUCCAGCUUGAAAUUCUCUCUCUGUGUGCUUUUUAUCAUAGAGCCCAUUCAUUCUGGAUUGUGCUUGGUUCACAUUUCUUUUGAUCACAGCUAACAAUUCAUCCCUAUUUUUCAGUUGCUGAUCCACAGAAGCCACUGAUG